GUAUUUGUGGUGUAGCGGUCAGCACGCUCGACGCGUAACUGAGAGGUCCGUGGUUCGAUUCCCGGCGAAGGCG
This 73-nucleotide transfer RNA is filed under the name Stegodyphus mimosarum. It matches the Rfam family "tRNA". From Rfam's summary of the family: Transfer RNA (tRNA) molecules are approximately 80 nucleotides in length. Lineage: Eukaryota; Metazoa; Arthropoda; Arachnida; Araneae; Eresidae. The record is from Rfam by way of RNAcentral.